GACGAACGCUGGCGGCGUGCUUAACACAUGCAAGUCGAACGGAAAGGCCCUGCUUUUGUGGGGUGCUCGAGUGGCGAACGGGUGAGUAACACGUGAGUAACCUGCCCUUGACUUUGGGAUAACUUCAGGAAACUGGGGCUAAUAACGGAUAGGAGCUCCUGCUGCAUGGUGGGGGUUGGAAAGUUUCGGCGGUUGGGGAUGGACUCGCGGCUUAUCAGCUUGUUGGUGGGGUAGUGGCUUACCAAGGCUUUGACGGGUAGCCGGCCUGAGAGGGUGACCGGCCACAUUGGGACUGAGAUACGGCCCAGACUCCUACGGGAGGCAGCAGUGGGGAAUAGUGCACAAUGGGCGGAAGCCUGAUGCAGCAACGCCGCGUGCGGGAUGACGGCCUUCGGGUUGUAAACCGCUUUCGCCUGUGACGAAGCGUGAGUGACGGUAAUGGGUAAAGAAGCACCGGCUAACUACGUG
Molecule: ribosomal RNA, 468 nt
Filed under: uncultured bacterium
Lineage: Bacteria
Description: partial 16S ribosomal RNA
Rfam family: Bacterial small subunit ribosomal RNA
Source: RNAcentral